RNAcentral lists this long non-coding RNA (372 nucleotides) under Elaeis guineensis (African oil palm). RNAcentral's name for it is "long non-coding RNA (EGUI_LNC028565)". Lineage: Eukaryota; Viridiplantae; Streptophyta; Magnoliopsida; Arecales; Arecaceae. The record is from RNAcentral.
GGAGAGAUCAAUAAGAUCAAAGGCACGGAUGAAGUUGAUGAAGCCGAAGGUGAUGGCUCUAGAUUGAGGAUUUCCAUUCCUUUCAUGAAGCUCAUAUGUUGCAUUAAAAUCCUUCCCCCCCUAAUGAUCCAGGGGCCAAGAAAGGCAGUACGGAUAUUAUAUAGUUCUUGCCAGAAUGAGGCUUUGAGAUUAAAUUUAGUGAGGCCAUAGACCACAGUGAAGCACCAAGAUUGAUUGAUCACUCGAUCCCAUCAAAGAAUGGUGUUAGAUAAGGAAUGACUCUCUUGUCUAAUUGGAGAGAAUCGUGCAGAACACCGGUCAAGAAAAAUAUCACCGGCAGUACCACUGACAUCAAGAGAAACACCCCCCCCC